GCGCCGCGCCUGCCCCUCGCCAGCCGCCCCGAGGAGGCGCCGCGCCUGCCCUUUGCUAGUUACCCAGAGGAACCGAUGGUGCUGGGAACUGCCGAGGAUGCCGGCCAAACCCAGGAUUGACUACAAGUAUUGUCUUUGGUGAGCGAUCUGAGGUACAACAGACCUGAGCCCUUCUCUGAAGAAACUCACAGGACAAGACAAUGUGAAUAAUCAGAGCUAGAAGUGUAGAACCUUUUCGUCAAACAGUACAGGCCUGGAGAAAUCAAAUUGCUUCUCCUGUCGUGUUCACAGUCUGAACCAAGUGUUUGUAAGAGACACAACACUCUCAGAGCCUGCUCUCCUCUGUCUGUCAAUGGAAGCUUGACAUGUUGCUGUUGACUUACAGUGUCCAGCUUUUUGGUGAGGAUAAUGUGAUCACCUAGGAGCUGUGAGUUUCCUGGAGAGGAGCACCAAAUCCACAGAUCGGGAUUAGCAAUAAAUGCAUGGAAAAAAGGACUUUCCUGAAAAAAGCAUGUGAAUGCUCUUAAUAUGUGAAUAGCUAAUGAAGAUCCUCUUAGCAGUCUCUGCACAUUCUUCAGCUGCAGGCCCAGCUGUUUAUUUUCUUCAUGAAACUAAAACCAGAUCGAUCAACUCUUCCUCAAAGCCCUUUAUGAAACCUUGGCUUCCAGGCACAGGCCUGCUGCUAACAACAGACCUGAUGCAAAUUGAAUCUCUGGGAAACAGAGUAGACCCGUGGUGUCCAGCAAUAAGCCAAAGGGCCUCAUCCAGUAAGGUGCUGAGCAUCCUCGACUCCCACGGAAUGAGUUUGCUCCACAGCACUUGGCAGGAUCGUACCAAGUGCUUAGAUGUGGCAAGUAUCAAUAACUGUGAUGUGCAUAUAUACGUAACCCUUCUGCCAGGGGAGUCAGCAGCAACAAGGGUGGGUUGAAUAUCUAUGGGGGUUCCUCUUAACAAUACAAAACAGACCUGGUUCAAGCCCCCCGCCAGAAAUCUGGGAAAACUAACCAUCACCCCGAGGUGCCUCGAAGAGGCAAUACUCCCCCUCUCACAAGCACUGAGUCUGUAUAAUAAAGGGAAAGAGAACUCAGCAUUAAGUUGGAAAAGCACCACCACCACUUUCAAAAGCAUGUGACUAUACACAAAC
Long non-coding RNA from Mauremys mutica (yellowpond turtle), 1144 nucleotides. RefSeq lists it as uncharacterized. NCBI's taxonomy places the organism in Eukaryota, Metazoa, Chordata, Testudines, Geoemydidae. The record is from RefSeq and is a predicted model, not a curated record. The transcript has 7 exons.